RNAcentral lists this ribosomal RNA (433 nucleotides) under uncultured bacterium. RNAcentral's name for it is "partial 16S ribosomal RNA". It matches the Rfam family "Bacterial small subunit ribosomal RNA", at positions 29 to 507 of the family's 1533-position model. The record is from RNAcentral.
AACGAACGCUGGCGGCAUGCCUAAUACAUGCAAGUCGAACGAGAACUUCGGGACUAGUGGCGCACGGGUGCGUAACGCGUGGGAACAUGAACUUAGGUUCGGAAUAACUACCCGAAAGGGGUGACAAUACCGGAUAAUGUCUUCGGACCAAAGAUUUAUCGACUUUGGAUGGGCCAGCGUUGGAUUAGCUAGUUGGUAGGGUAAAAGCCUACCAAGGCGCCGAUUCAUAGCUGGUCUGAGAGAAUGAUCAGCCACACUGGGACUGAGACACGGCCCAGACUCCUACGGGAGGCAGCAGUGGGGAAUAGUGGACAGUGGGCGGAAGCCUGAUCCAGCAAUGCCGCUUGAGUUAUGAAAGCCUUAGGGUUGUAAAGCUCUUUUACCCGGGAUGAUAAUGACAGUACCGGGAGAAUAAGCUCCGGCUAACUCCGUG